GCCAGCAUGGUGUAGUGGUUUGAGUGCUGGACUAUGACUCUGGAGAUUAGGGUUCAAAUCCUCAUUCAGCCA
Molecule: transfer RNA, 72 nt
Filed under: Phrynosoma platyrhinos (Desert horned lizard)
Lineage: Eukaryota; Metazoa; Chordata; Lepidosauria; Squamata; Phrynosomatidae
Description: tRNA-OTHER
Source: RNAcentral